GAGGAAUAUUGGUCAAUGGGCGAGAGCCUGAACCAGCCAAGUAGCGUGCAGGAUGACGGCCCUAUGGGUUGUAAACUGCUUUUGUAUGGGGAUAAAGUCAAUCACGUGUGAUUGUUUGCAGGUACCAUACGAAUAAGGACCGGCUAAUUCCGUGCCAGCAGCCGCGGUAAUACGGAAGGUCCGGGCGUUAUCCGGAUUUAUUGGGUUUAAAGGGAGCGUAGGCUGGAGAUUAAGUGUGUUGUGAAAUGUAGACGCUCAACGUCUGACUUGCAGCGCAUACUGGUUUCCUUGAGUACGCACAACGUUGGCGGAAUUCGUCGUGUAGCGGUGAAAUGCUUAGAUAUGACGAAGAACUCCGAUUGCGAAGGCAGCUGACGGGAGCGCAACUGACGCUGAAGCUCGAAGGUGCGGGUAUCGAACAGGAUUAGAUACCCUGGUAGUCCGCACAGUAAACGAUGGAUGCCCGCUGUUGGUACCUGGUAUCAGCGACUAAGCGAAAGCAUUAAGCAUCCCACCUGGGGAGUACGCCGGCAACGGUG
RNAcentral lists this ribosomal RNA (539 nucleotides) under uncultured bacterium. RNAcentral describes it as "bacterial SSU rRNA". It matches the Rfam family "Bacterial small subunit ribosomal RNA", at positions 356 to 896 of the family's 1533-position model. The record is from RNAcentral.